AUGACCUACGGGAGGCAGCAGUGAGGAAUAUUGGUCAAUGGUCGGGAGACUGAACCAGCCAAGCCGCGUGAGGGAUGAGGGUACAGAGUAUCGUAAACCUCUUUUGUCAGGGAACAAAGGCGGGGACGCGUCCCCGGAUGAGUGUACCUGAAGAAAAAGCAUCGGCUAACUCCGUGCCAGCAGCCGCGGUAAUACGGAGGAUGCGAGCGUUAUCCGGAUUUAUUGGGUUUAAAGGGUGCGCCGGCGGUCUGUUAAGUUAGCGGUCAAAACCCGGGGCUCAACCCCGGUCCGCCGUUGAAACUGGG
This 305-nucleotide ribosomal RNA is filed under the name uncultured bacterium. RNAcentral describes it as "bacterial SSU rRNA". It matches the Rfam family "Bacterial small subunit ribosomal RNA", at positions 332 to 637 of the family's 1533-position model. The record is from RNAcentral.